Molecule: long non-coding RNA, 468 nt
Filed under: Chinchilla lanigera (long-tailed chinchilla)
Lineage: Eukaryota; Metazoa; Chordata; Mammalia; Rodentia; Chinchillidae
Description: lncRNA (ENSCLAG00000028344.1)
Source: RNAcentral
GCACGUAAGACGGCUACUAAUAUACAAUGGAGGUCAGUCACGGUCUCCUACAGUUAAGUUCAUGACACAUUUCCAUGUUUGUUCAGUCCAUGCAGAGCCACUGUAACUCUCAUAUGUUACUGAUAGGCACAUGAUAUAGUAAAACUAGUUGGGCAAUUUCUUAAAUAGUGAAGCGUUCAUCUUCCUAUAACCCAGCAAUUUUACUCUAGAUUAUUUAUCACAGAAAAUGAAAACAUAUCACAAAAGGCCUUGAAUAAGAAAGUUCACAGAAGAUGGAUUUAUAAUAGUUGAAAUUUGAAGACACACAUAUCCCUAUAAAGUAAAGACAGUUUAAAUGCUAGUAUAAGAAAUGAAAUGACAAGGGAGCAGCCUUGGAAACCUGCCCUGAGACAACAGAGAACUCCUAGAGAAGAAGCAGGAGGGCAAAAGAGAACAGAGGAGGAGAACGGAAGGGCCGCCUCCUGGUGA